UAGGGAAUCUUCGGCAAUGGACGAAAGUCUGACCGAGCAACGCCGCGUGAGUGAAGAAGGUUUUCGGAUCGUAAAACUCUGUUGUUAGAGAAGAACAAGGACGUUAGUAACUGAACGUCCCCUGACGGUAUCUAACCAGAAAGCCACGGCUAACUACGUGCCAGCAGCCGCGGUAAUACGUAGGUGGCAAGCGUUGUCCGGAUUUAUUGGGCGUAAAGCGAGCGCAGGCGGUUUCUUAAGUCUGAUGUGAAAGCCCCCGGCUCAACCGGGGAGGGUCAUUGGAAGCUGGGAGACUUGAGUGCAGAAGAGGAGAGUGGAAUUCCAUGUGUAGCGGUGAAAUGCGUAGAUAUAUGGAGGAACACCAGUGGCGAAGGCGGCUCUCUGGUCUGUAACUGACGCUGAGGCUCGAAAGCGUGUGGAGCAAACAGG
RNAcentral lists this ribosomal RNA (429 nucleotides) under Gemmatimonadota bacterium. RNAcentral's name for it is "Gemmatimonadetes bacterium partial 16S ribosomal RNA". It matches the Rfam family "Bacterial small subunit ribosomal RNA", at positions 355 to 776 of the family's 1533-position model. The record is from RNAcentral. Lineage: Bacteria; Pseudomonadati; Gemmatimonadota.